This 324-nucleotide ribosomal RNA is filed under the name uncultured eukaryote. Its description in RNAcentral is "partial 18S ribosomal RNA". It matches the Rfam family "Eukaryotic small subunit ribosomal RNA", at positions 1470 to 1796 of the family's 1831-position model. The record is from RNAcentral.
CCCUUAGAUGUUCUGGGCCGCACGCGCGCUACACUGAUGCAUUCAACGAGUUUCUUCCUGGUCCGAGAGGAAUGGGUAACCUUUUGAAAGUGCAUCGUGAUAGGGAUAGACUAUUGCAAUUAUUGGUCUUCAACGAGGAAUUCCUAGUAGACGUAGUUCAUCAGACUGCAUCGAUUACGUCCCUGCCCUUUGUACACACCGCCCGUCGCUCCUACCGAUUGCAUGCUCAGGUGAGCCAUUCGGACUUUCAUCAUGCUGGUUUCCAGUUUUGAUGAAGGAAAGUCUUGCGAACCUUAUCAUUUAGAGGAAGGAGAAGUCGUAACA